GACGAACGCUGGCGGCGUGCUUAACACAUGCAAGUCGAACGGAAAGGCCCUGCUUUUGUGGGGUGCUCGAGUGGCGAACGGGUGAGUAACACGUGAGUAACCUGCCCUUGACUUUGGGAUAACUUCAGGAAACUGGGGCUAAUACCGGAUAGGAGCUCCUGCUGCAUGGUGGGGGUUGGAAAGUUUCGGCGGUUGGGGAUGGACUCGCGGCUUAUCAGCUUGUUGGUGGGGUAGUGGCUUACCAAGGCUUUGACGGGUAGCCGGCCUGAGAGGGUGACCGGCCACAUUGGGACCGAGAUAAGGCCCAGACUCCUACGGGAGGCAGCAGUGGGGAAUAUUGCACAAUGGGCGGAAGCCUGAUGCAGCAACGCCGCGUGCGGGAUGACGGCCUUCGGGUUGUAAACCGCUUUCGCCUGUGACGAAGCGUGAGUGACGGUAAUGGGUAAAGAAGCACCGGCUAACUACGUG
Molecule: ribosomal RNA, 468 nt
Filed under: uncultured bacterium
Lineage: Bacteria
Description: partial 16S ribosomal RNA
Rfam family: Bacterial small subunit ribosomal RNA
Source: RNAcentral